AGACAAGGAAAGUGUACAGAUGCACAUAAUCUUCACAUCAAAUCAUCGAUGCAAUGCAUCACGAAAGUGGUGUAUGAAGGAUGUAGCGGGUCCCUGCCAAGGGACUUGCAAUGAUCGUCGUGCAUAGUCGUGUAAUAUGUG
Molecule: unclassified non-coding RNA, 141 nt
Filed under: uncultured crenarchaeote
Lineage: Archaea; Thermoproteati; Thermoproteota
Description: partial 16S-23S ribosomal RNA intergenic spacer
Source: RNAcentral